GGAUGUGGGGGCAAUCUGGCUGUGACAUCUGUCACCCCAUUAAUCUCCAGGGUUGAAACGACUAAUCUGGCUGGCUAGGCGGGUGUCCCCUUCCUCCCUCAUCAUUCCAUGUACAUGCCUCCCCAAGCUGCACUCUGGGUUGAAGAAGACGACCAUUCUGACCAUCCACAAUAGAUGAGGAUGGGUCUUCAGUCAAAAGUAUAUGAGCGGCUGUGCUUCCCCACCAGAUCCUCCAAACAAGCUCUCUAGAAAUGUACAACGAAAAAUAAUAAAAAUAAAAAUUUACCUUU
RNAcentral lists this small nuclear RNA (290 nucleotides) under Aotus nancymaae (Ma's night monkey). RNAcentral describes it as "7SK RNA (ENSANAG00000002850.1)". It matches the Rfam family "7SK RNA". From Rfam's summary of the family: 7SK was discovered as an abundant small nuclear RNA in the mid-70s but a possible function has only recently been suggested. Two independent studies have found that 7SK RNA binds the CDK9/cyclin T complex (known as elongation factor P-TEFb). The record is from RNAcentral. Lineage: Eukaryota; Metazoa; Chordata; Mammalia; Primates; Aotidae.